UAGCUCUCACACUCUUCAGUCGAUCAGCCAUGGACAAAGGUUUGCUGCUGGUCCUGUUGUGUCUGCAGGUCGUCCUGCUCACCACAGCCUUCACUUCUGCUGAUGAAGCCGCUCUGCUGAGAGAUGGUCAGCAUCAACUCCAGGCUGUUGAUCUGAUGAGACGUCGGCGGCAAGUGAAACAAAGAGGACAAACGGAGAAGAAACCUCCACCCUGCUCGACGAGACGAGGAAGAUGCACUUUGACAGGACGAACAUCUUUUGACCAGCUCAAGCCAGACUCAGCCGUCUAGAGUCAAGCUCUGCAGGAAGUGCCAUCAGACGUAGAAGAUAGCAAAUGAAUGAAGAUGAUUGUAAUGCUUACAAAGCAAUGCAAGUGCUUUUAAUAAGAAAUAAAAGAUUUCAAAUCAGA
Acanthochromis polyacanthus (spiny chromis) is the source of this 409-nucleotide long non-coding RNA. RefSeq lists it as uncharacterized. The record is from RefSeq and is a predicted model, not a curated record. NCBI's taxonomy places the organism in Eukaryota, Metazoa, Chordata, Actinopteri, Pomacentridae. The transcript has 3 exons.